This 872-nucleotide ribosomal RNA is filed under the name uncultured euryarchaeote. Its description in RNAcentral is "bacterial SSU rRNA". It matches the Rfam family "Archaeal small subunit ribosomal RNA", at positions 1 to 879 of the family's 1478-position model. The record is from RNAcentral. Lineage: Archaea; Methanobacteriati; Methanobacteriota.
UUCCGGUUGAUCCCGCCGGAGGCGACCGCUAUUGGAGUUCGAUUAAGCCAUGCGAGUAGAAAGAAAUUAGAUUCUUUGCAUACUGCUCAGUAACACGUGGAUAACCUGCCCUACACUGGGGGAUAAGCUCGGGAAACUGAGUAUAAUACCCCAUAGACCACUACGCCUGGAACGGUGAGUGGUUGAAAGCUCAGGCGGUGUAGGAUGGGUCUGCGGCGUAUCAGGUCGUAGGGGGUGUAAUGGACCUCCUAGCCAUCGACGCGUACGGGUUGUGGGAGCAAUAGCCCGGAGACGGAUUCUGAGACACGAAUCCGGACCCUACGGGGUGCAGCAGGCGCGAAAACUUCACACUGCAGGAAACUGUGAUGAGGGAACUCCAAGUGACUGCCCAAUGGGUAGCCUUUUCUUGAAUCUUAAUAGUUCUUGGAAUAAGGGCUGGGAAAGACCGGUGCCAGCCGCCGCGGUAAUACCGGCAGCUCAAGUGGUCGUCGCUUUUAUUGGGCCUAAAACGUCCGUAGCCUGUUUGGUAAAUCUGUGGGUAAAUCAACGAGCUUAACUCGUUGAAUUCUGCAGAGACUGCCAGACUAGGGACCGGGAGAGGUAUGAGGUACUCUGGGGGUAGGGGUAAAAUCCUGUCAUCCUCAGAGGACCACCUGUUGCGAAGGCGUCAUACUGGAACGGAUCCGACGGUCAGGGACGAAGCCUAGGGGCACGAGCCGGAUUAGAUACCCGGGUAGUCCUAGGUGUAAACGCUGUGGAUUUGGUGUGUGGGGUCCGCAAUGGGCCCCAUGUGCCGGAGUGAAGAUGUUAAAUCCACUGCCUGGGGAGUACGGUCGCAAGGCCGAAACUUAAAGGAAUUGGCGGGGCAGCAC